Molecule: long non-coding RNA, 757 nt
Organism: Suricata suricatta (meerkat)
Lineage: Eukaryota; Metazoa; Chordata; Mammalia; Carnivora; Herpestidae
Exons: 4
Source: RefSeq, a predicted model, not a curated record
AUUGGACCCUGCAAAUUAGGUGGCUGGCCCCGAGCCAGGGUAUUGAGACACCACCAAAGCCGACUGCUCAACGCAAAGCCCAGAGUAAAACAAGCUAAUCAACAACCAGGACAUUCUGUCUGACCUCCACGAGGCUGGCAUCCCCUGUUGAAUUCAAAGUUUCCACGGCCAGAGCCAGAGACGAAGAGGGAAUCAUCUAGAUGUUAAGCCAAAGCGACAAACUGAGUAAGGACAGGACCAGAGCUGUGGAGGUGCCGGGAUGGAAGACGUGAAGUUCCCUAUGUAGAGCUCCGACUUUGAAGCCAGGUUCUCCUGCAGCGGCAGCUUCUGGCAUGCUGAGAGGAGAAAGCGGAACAAAGGGCAGCCAGGGAAGCUGAAUAACCACACUGCCUCCCCACUUCCAAGUGUCAGGUGACCUGCUGGAACUGGUGGUCAGAGUUCCCUCGGUACACUCCCCAUGACCAAGCUGUCAUCACCUCAUUGAAUUGAAAGGGCACCUCUGCUUCCUAAAGAGUGGAACUACAGCCGUCUGUCUGUGCUUCUCUUCACGUACCUCAGACUGGGCAUCUGGCAGUGACAGGUAAUCAAAUCAUAUCAAGGGACAUUGAGCCAUCUGCCCUAAUUUCAGCCCUCAGAAGUGAGCUAUUGGAAAGGGUUUCAGCUUUUCAUCUUGAGCCUACCAGCCAGCACGGUUCAAUUUCCUCAAUGAAAGUAUUGAUUGAGUCCUUUAAAAAUAAUUCCCAACCCUGCCGACAUC